UGUGUGUGUGGGCUUGCUUUGACAGUGAUAAUGUUCAUACGGGGGUCUGUGUGAUUGGCUUGGGAUAUUGGAAUGGUCAACUAAAUCAUGCCUGAUGGACAGCCACACGUUUACUUAAGGGCCUCCGGUAGACAUGAAGAGCCCUGAGCGAUGCUCUGGAGCGAGAUCCAACACACUGGGCAGGAAGGAGAGUAUCCAACUCGAGUGUAAAAGGAUGCAAGCGGCGUGUUCAGAUCAGUGACAUCAAACUAGGACUACACCAAUCAGGAUCAAUGGAGGAUGGACACCAAAAGGAAUUCCACAAGGAGAGUCUGACGUUGGAAAGGGACCUAAAUGGAUAUUCAAGAUGACCUUCAGACCUGUAAUGAGACGGCUCUUCCUACCUGGUUGGAUUGAUGGAGAGCCCUCUGGAUCUUGUCUUGCUCUCAGUUGCACAUCUUCUCAGGCUGAACUGUAUUUGUUUCGGACAGGACUAGCUAUACGAUUGGUUCCCUUAAAUCAGAACCAAUCCGGGAACUCCAGCUAGUGCGCUCUUUGAGCUGAAGUUGUGCUCUUCAGCUGAGGAAAUAAGGAAACUUCACUGGGGCUUCAAGGUGUAAAGAGGAGGAUGUUUCAAAGUGUUCCAUGGUACUCUGAAGAAGACCGUUGUUGUGUUCCACUGGCUGCGAGGAAGAACCCACACAUCUUCCUCUUGGCAUUUCUCCUCUGAGAAUCCUGGCGCCAUCUUGAAGGAUAUUCCAGCUCAUGUAACUGAUGUCACGACAGAUUCUCAAACACUUGGUUUCUCCUGAGGGGCGUGUCUAUGGAACUGAAGACUUCAGGCAGCACUGUAUCCCAGCAUGCAUCUCUGCUCACUCAGACCACACCCCCAUGAGUAGGAUGCAACACUCUAGUGAUGGAGAUGUAUAGUUUUAUAAGUAGUGAGGGAGCAGACUAAAGUCAUUAGAACACAAUGGAAUGUCAAGUCUGUAAAUCCUUCAGCCAUGAAGAUGGUUGGAUAGUUCAGGAUUUGGGCUGCUUUUUAUUAUGGGCAGUCCUUUCACUCGGAUGCCCACUUCCCACUGGACUGUACAUGUGAUGGCUGGCUGGCAUGAUUUGCUGUUGGUGAUAAGGCGGUCAGGGUGAAUUUGCAGGGCUAUGGUCGGCUCUCUGUGAGCUCAACGUUUAGAUUUGCUCUGUAUGGUUUGUACCCUGAAUAAUCUAGAUAAUUGUAAAAAGUAGAGGUUUUGUAUUGAAUGAUUCCAGGAUUUUAGGUUUAAAGUUGUUGUGGGACGUACAUGGUAGUUUGGUUCUUCGUAUUGUUUUGAGUGAUAUAACUUGUACACACUGGGUGCAUAAUAAUGUAAAGGUACACUGAAUAGUAUUAAUGACCAACAGCAACAAACAGAUCUCCUCAAGGUAAGUCUGUUGGCUGUGUUUUAAUGAAGACCAUCGCUGGACUUCAGGAUCUUCCUCCGUUCAGCUCAAGGUGAGGCGCUGGUUCGGUUUUUUCUUUGGUUGGUUCCGGCCGGAAUGUUCGGAUUCCAGUCGGACGGGUUGUGCUUCCCGCCGUGGAAGGUUUUGAGUGCGGUCACUUGAUUUAGUCCCAAUGGUUAGCAUAGAACGUUGUAGUCUUGACAACCAUAAGAAACCUCCUGGCAGUUAGUCCCCUGAGGGACCUGGCGGAACGUUCUUGAUGUAUUUGAGUAACCUCGAGGCGGUGCCAACAAACUAUUUUUCAGUCGGUUUCCAUUGGGAAUUAUUGCCCCUAUCUUAAACAACUUAAGUUUGAUAUUAAAUACAUACCGAGACGUACGUUGUACAAUAUGCUGAUAAUUUCCGAUGGUUGCGCCGUACUUUUAACCACGAUGACGUUGCGGGACUCUCAUUGCGUACAAAACAGCGUUCUACUUGCGGGCCCAUAUUUGACAUCGGGGAAGGCUGAAAAUCAUUUCAUGGUGGAAGAUAAUUUGACAUUUCUUCAACGGAACCCAGCACCUGAAUAUGGCUGAGUAUAUUUGAUUUAAUAUCAAUACUGCUUAGUGUUCUUUGUUACUUCAGCUUUUGUAUGUUCUAAAUAUCUGCUGUCAUUAAUUGCCACAGAAGUUAAACCCUACCCAAUGGAAUGACGUUAAACAACGACUUUGGUGCAGAGUUACCAACUGGAUGAUAUCAAAGCUAAAAUAAUGGCCGUCAUUCCCACAUGUUACAGUAGAAGAUACUCUAGAACUGUACAAGGUUAAAAAGGUAACAUGUAGUUUGUCCCAAGGUGUCUGCCUCCUCACCCAGAGCAAGACCUCCACCUCCUCACCCAGCGCCAGACCUCCACCUCCUGUCAGAAGUCCUCCAGAACAGCUGAAAGGCGAGGCUGAGAGGCUGGGGACCGGAGGCUUGUGGUGCCAGGGUGGACCGGAGACUGAGGCUGGAGACCAGGGGCCUGCAGCACCGGACCAGAGGGUAACCAUCACCAAGCUCAUCUGAAACACUAAAAUCCACGACCAGGAAUCCAUGGCUGAAGGAGCUGAUGGAGGAGCCGUGCUGAAGGCCCUGGGCUGGUGGAGGAGCUGGUGGAGGGCCUGCCUGGUGAAUGACGUCUGUCGUGGGACCAGGACUCUGUCUGAGGAGAGCUGCUGGAGGAGCUGAGACACUGGAGGACGACGAGGAAUCGACCAACAAGGAUUCCUCAACGUGUUUCUGGAGCGGAGGCGAGCUGGUAGGGCAGCCGUGACUCUGGAGGAGGACCAUCACUCUACCAACAAGGGUUGUAAGUUUGUAUUAACCAAACAAACUGGAAAUAAAGGGCUUAUAAUAAGACAAACUACAUGUUUGUUACCAGACUCGCGGCGUUUGUUCCAGACCAGGACUCUGGCUGAGGAGAGCUGAUGGAGGAGCCAAGACUCUGGAGGACGACAUCACUCCACCAACCAGGAUCCUCACACACCUGAGCUGAACCUCACCUGAUCCUGUUUGGUCGGGGGUAGACGCACCUGAGCUAAACCCGCCCUGAUCCUGACAUCCUGCUGGUCCCGUCUCCUCAGUUCAUCUGAGCCUCGUCCUCCAGAAGACCUGCUGAGCUCAGUAGUCUGAGGCUGAUGGAUCAAUGACCUCCACUGGGAGUGAUCUUCUUGACCCACCAUAUAACUGUGUGCUUCCACACGCCUUUCUCUCACGUCUGUCACUAACCUCACUACUUCACUACUCUCUACUGCUUCCUCUUUCCUUCUUUCUCUGUGGUUCAAACCUUUACACUGAAGGCGCGUCUUCCUGCCCUCAGAGGGUUUAGCGUUAGGGUUGAGAGUCAGGGUUUAGAGUCAGGGACAGAGCUGGUCAGGGAGGACUGCUUUUACACAAACUUCUUCACUUGCUUUCGGAAUGUGGUGUCAUUUUGCAACUAAACUAAACAAACUGGAAAUAAAGGGCUUAAAAAUAAGACAAACUACAUGUUUGUUACCAGACUCGCGCCAUUUGUUCCAGACCAGGACUCUGGCUGAGGAGAGCUGAUGGAGGAGCCAAGACUCUGGAGGACGACAUCACUCCACCAACCAGGAUCCUCACCAGGAAUCUGGAGGACUGAUGGAGAAGCCAUACAUCUGGAAGGCAAAUCCUGAGGACCACCAAGACUCUACCAUCAAGGAUUCCUCAUAAAUGUGCAUCAUCUGGACAUAGUGGACUAGACACACCUGAGCUGAACCUCACCUGAUCCUGUUUGGUCGGGGGUAGACGCACCUGAGCUAAACCCGCCCUGAUCCUGACAUCCUGCUGGUCCCUUCUCCUCAGUUCAUCUGAGCCUCGUCCUCCAGAAGACCUGCUGAGCUCAGCAGUCUGAGGCUGAUGGAUCAAUGACCUCCAGUGGGAGUGAUCUUCUUGAACCACCAUAUAACCGUGUGCUUCCACACGCCUUUCCCUCACGUCUGUCACUAACCUCACUACUUCACUACUCUCUACUGCUUCCUCUUUCCUUCUUUCUCUGUGGUUCAAACUUUUACACUGAAGGCGCGUCUUCCAGCCCUCAGAGGGUUGAGAGUCAGGGUUGAGAGUCAGGGACAGAGCUAGUCAGGGAGGACUGCUUUUACACAAACUUCUUCACUUGCUUUCGGAAUGGUGGUGUCAUUUUGCAAAGAUUCAUUUGGGAAAAUGUUUUCCUCUGCUUUCCUUUACAAAAUUGUAUUAAAAUUCUGUCAAGUGUUUUUGUUUAUAUAUUAAAAUCCCACAUUGACUUCUACAUGUUUGUUGCGGUUCAUUUAAUUGUCCUUUAACUUGGUUAAUGUCAAG
Gadus morhua (Atlantic cod) is the source of this 4251-nucleotide long non-coding RNA. NCBI's taxonomy places the organism in Eukaryota, Metazoa, Chordata, Actinopteri, Gadiformes, Gadidae. The record is from Ensembl.